UGCGUAGGCGGAUUAAUAAGUCAGUGGUGAAAUCUUUCGGCUCAACCGGGAAACUGCCAUUGAUACUGUUAGUCUUGAGUUCGGUUGAGGUAGGCGGAAUGUGUAAUGUAGCGGUGAAAUGCUUAGAUAUUACACAGAACACCAAUUGCGUAGGCAGCUUACUAGACCGACACUGACGCUGAGGCACGAAAGCGUGGGGAGCGAACAGGAUUAGAUACCCUGGUAGUC
Molecule: ribosomal RNA, 228 nt
Filed under: uncultured bacterium
Lineage: Bacteria
Description: partial 16S ribosomal RNA
Rfam family: Bacterial small subunit ribosomal RNA
Source: RNAcentral